This 73-nucleotide transfer RNA is filed under the name Alphaproteobacteria bacterium. RNAcentral describes it as "tRNA-Thr". It matches the Rfam family "tRNA". From Rfam's summary of the family: Transfer RNA (tRNA) molecules are approximately 80 nucleotides in length. Their secondary structure includes four short double-helical elements and three loops (D, anti-codon, and T loops). Lineage: Bacteria; Pseudomonadati; Pseudomonadota; Alphaproteobacteria. The record is from RNAcentral. RNAcentral also lists the same sequence under 1 other name.
GCCGAAAUAGCUCAGCUGGUAGAGCAACUGAUUUGUAAUCAGUAGGUCGGGGGUUCGAUUCCCUUUUUCGGCU